CAAUAGCGUAUAUUAAAGUUGUUGCAGUUAAAAAGCUCGUAGUUGGAUUUCUGCGCAAGUCGCCUGGUCCACCCACUGGGUGCGUAUCUGGGUUGCCUUGCGCAUUUUGUUGGAUGGUGUUUCUGCACUUGACUGUGUGGUGCAUUGGCCAGCGCUUUUACUUUGAGGAAAUUAGAGUGUUUCAAGCAGGCUCACGCCUUGAAUACAUUAGCAUGGAAUAAUAAUAUAAGACCUUGGAUCUUUUUUGUUGGUUUCUAGAACCAAGGUAAUGAUUAAUAGGGAUAAUUGGGGGCAUUCGUAUUCAACUGUCAGAGGUGAAAUUCUUGGAUUUGUUGAAGACGAUCUACUGCGAAAGCAUUUGCCAGGGAUGUUUUCAUUGAU
RNAcentral lists this ribosomal RNA (381 nucleotides) under uncultured eukaryote. RNAcentral's name for it is "partial 18S ribosomal RNA". It matches the Rfam family "Eukaryotic small subunit ribosomal RNA", at positions 592 to 977 of the family's 1831-position model. The record is from RNAcentral.